This 519-nucleotide ribosomal RNA is filed under the name uncultured bacterium. RNAcentral describes it as "bacterial SSU rRNA". It matches the Rfam family "Bacterial small subunit ribosomal RNA", at positions 355 to 874 of the family's 1533-position model. The record is from RNAcentral.
UGAGGAAUAUGGGUCAAUGGGCGCGAGCCUGAACCAGCCAAAUCGCGUGAAGGAAGACGGUAUUAUGUAUUGUAAACUUCUUUUGUAAGGGAAUAAAGAGGGUUACGUGUAGCCUAUUGUAUGUACCUUGCGAAUAAGCAUCGGCUAACUCCGUGCCAGCAGCCGCGGUAAUACGGAGGAUGCGAGCGUUAUCCGGAUUUAUUGGGUUUAAAGGGUGCGUAGGUGGGGAUUUAAGUCAGCGGUGAAAUUUUUUCGCUUAACGGGAAGAUUGCCGUUGAAACUGGGUUUCUUGAGGGUGUACGAGGCAGGCGGAAUUCGUGGUGUAGCGGUGAAAUGCAUAGAUAUCACGAAGAACUCCGAUAGCGCAGGCAGCUUGCCAGGCCAUCACUGACACUGAAGCACGAAAGUGUGGGUAUCAAACAGGAUUAGAUACCCUGGUAGUCCACACAGUAAACGAUGAAUACUAACUGUUUGCGAUAUACAGUAAGCGGUACAGCGAAAGCGUUAAGUAUUCCACCU